ACGGGUGAGUAACACGUGGGUAACCUGCCCAUUAGAGGGGGAUAACAUUCGGAAACGGAUGCUAAUACCGCAUAGUUUCAGGAAUCGCAUGAUUCUUGAAGGAAAGGUGGCUUCGGCUACCACUAAUGGAUGGACCCGCGGCGUAUUAGCUAGUUGGUGAGGUAAUGGCUCACCAAGGCAAUGAUACGUAGCCGACCUGAGAGGGUGAUCGGCCACACUGGGACUGAGACACGGCCCAGACUCCUACGGGAGGCAGCAGUAGGGAAUCUUCCGCAAUGGACGAAAGUCUGACGGAGCAACGCCGCGUGAGUGAAGAAGGUUUUCGGAUCGUAAAACUCUGUUGUUAAAGAAGAACAAGGAUGAGAGUAACUGCUCAUCCCCUGACGGUAUUUAACCAGAAAGCCACGGCUAACUACGUGCCAGCAGCCGCGGUAAUACGUAGGUGGCAAGCGUUGUCCGGAUUUAUUGGGCGUAAAGCGAGCGCAGGCGGUUCUUUAAGUCUGAUGUGAAAGCCCCCGGCUCAACCGGGGAGGGUCAUUGGAAACUGGAGAACUUGAGUGCAGAAGAGGAGAGUG
This 575-nucleotide ribosomal RNA is filed under the name uncultured Carnobacterium sp. RNAcentral's name for it is "bacterial SSU rRNA". It matches the Rfam family "Bacterial small subunit ribosomal RNA", at positions 102 to 663 of the family's 1533-position model. Lineage: Bacteria; Bacillati; Bacillota; Bacilli; Lactobacillales; Carnobacteriaceae. The record is from RNAcentral.